UACGAAGGUGGCAAGCGUUAUCCGGAAUUAUUGGGCGUAAAGCGUUCCUAGGUUGUUAGGCAAGUUUUUCGUUAAACCUUCGGGCUCAACCCGAAGCUUGCGAAAAAAACUACCCAACUAGAGGAUGGGAGAGGUCAACGGAAUGGCCGGUGUAGUAGUAAAAUGCGUUUAUAUCGGCUAGAACACCAACAGCGAAGGCAGUUGACUAGAACAUUUCUGACACUCAUGGAACGAAAGCGUGGGGAGCAAAAGGG
RNAcentral lists this ribosomal RNA (254 nucleotides) under uncultured bacterium. Its description in RNAcentral is "partial 16S ribosomal RNA". It matches the Rfam family "Bacterial small subunit ribosomal RNA", at positions 524 to 776 of the family's 1533-position model. The record is from RNAcentral.